GUCCACGCCGUAAACGAUGUCGACUAGCCGUUGGAGGACUUGAUUCUUCAGUGGCGUAGCUAACGCGCUAAGUCGACCGCCUGGGGAGUACGGCCGCAAGGUUAAAACUCAAAUGAAUUGACGGGGACCCCGCACAAGCGGUGGAGUAUGUGGUUUAAUUCGACGCAACGCGAAGAACCUUACCUGCUCUUGACAUGUCGAGAACUUUCCAGAGAUGGAUUGGUGCCUUCGGGAACUCGAACACAGGUGCUGCAUGGCUGUCGU
Molecule: ribosomal RNA, 264 nt
Filed under: uncultured bacterium
Lineage: Bacteria
Description: partial 16S ribosomal RNA
Rfam family: Bacterial small subunit ribosomal RNA
Source: RNAcentral